Molecule: ribosomal RNA, 387 nt
Filed under: uncultured bacterium
Lineage: Bacteria
Description: bacterial SSU rRNA
Rfam family: Bacterial small subunit ribosomal RNA
Source: RNAcentral
AACGAACGCUGGCGGCGUGCUUAACACAUGCAAGUCGAACGAGAAAUCGUAGCAAUACGGUGAGUAAAGUGGCGCACGGGUCCGUAACACGUGGAUAAUCUUCCUUUGGGCUGGGGACAACCUGUCGAAAGACGGGCUAAUACCUUAUAAGACCACGAGAUCGCAAGAUUUUGGGGUAAAAGGUAGGCCUCUAUUAUAAGCUAUCACCUAAAGAUGAGUCCGCGCACCAUUAGCUAGUUGGNGGGGUAAAGCUCACCAAGGCGACGACGGGUAGCUGGUCUGAGAGGAUGGCCAGCCACAUUGGGACUGAGACACGGCCCAGACUCCUACGGGAGGCAGCAGUGGGGAAUAUUGCGCAAUGGGCGAAAGCCUGACGCAGCGACGCCG